CUACGGGGCGCACCAGUGGGGAAUAUUGCACAAUGGGCACAAGCCUGAUGCAGCCAUGCCGCGUGUAUGAAGAAGGCCUUCGGGUUGUAAAGUACUUUCAGCGGGGAGGAAGGGAGUAAAGUUAAUACCUUUGCUCAUUGACGUUACCCGCAGAAGAAGCACCGGCUAACUCCGUGCCAGCAGCCGCGGUAAUACGGAGGGUGCAAGCGUUAAUCGGAAUUACUGGGCGUAAAGCGCACGCAGGCGGUUUGUUAAGUCAGAUGUGAAAUCCCCGGGCUCAACCUGGGAACUGCAUCUGAUACUGGCAAGCUUGAGUCUCGUAGAGGGGGGUAGAAUUCCAGGUGUAGCGGUGAUAUGCGUAGAGAUCUGGAGGAAUACCGGUGGCGAAGGCGGCCCCCUGGACGAAGACUGACGCUCAGGUGCGAAAGCGUGGGGAGCAAACAGGAUUAGAUACCCGAGUAGUC
RNAcentral lists this ribosomal RNA (464 nucleotides) under uncultured bacterium. Its description in RNAcentral is "partial 16S ribosomal RNA". It matches the Rfam family "Bacterial small subunit ribosomal RNA", at positions 339 to 795 of the family's 1533-position model. The record is from RNAcentral.